GGCAGCGGACCAAUAGCAGUGAAUUGAAGGCGGUGCCUUGUGAAUCUCGCCUGGCUGCACGCGCAGGGGAGUGGGGGCGUGGCAUUUUUUUGAGGAAAAAAAGCUAAACAAUCUUUAAUAUUUCAAAUUGACUGUGUCGGCUUUUUAAGUUGUCUCGGCUGGUGGAGAAGUCCAUACCUUAGAAUAGUGGUAACACACGGGGAUCCACUCAAGACAGGCCUGAAUGUAUUUUCUUCCAAAUUUCUGGACGAAAAGGUAUAGAAAGCGGGUAAUCUUUCUUUAGUCACCACUCCGGUCAGACGAUGAAUUCUAAACGUUUGCUUGACAUGUCUCCGGCUGAAAUACUGGUCGGGGGCGCUUCGAAACAAGCCGGUAUUGACCAGCAUGCAGAGGGUUCCAAGGGAAGCGAAAUGAGUGUCACCACUACUGACAGCGGUGUCAUUCUGGCGUGCGGGAGCGGGCCCGCAUCAGGAGCAGUUUUCUGCACAUUCGUGCUAGACGAUGGCACUUUGAGAGAAUGUACAAACCAGGACAUUAUCCUCAAUGGGAAUGACCUGUCGUCAGGGAAAGAAAAAUACGCGCACCGGAAAAUAAUGGGUUGUGGUGGCGAGGCAGAUGAGAGGAACAGUGGUCUGACUGGGGUCCUUACUAACGGCAGUCCCACUCACUGCCUGAUCCUGAACGGGCAGAAGCCGGACAGACACAUGCACUCGAAAGUGAGGAAUCCGCUGGUGCCCGAUGGUUUCCAGGAAACCGGACAUCAAGUGCCACCUGAGGAGAGAAAUUCCCACCCCUCCUCCCACAUACCUGUCCCCCGACGCAGGCGGCGAAUCGCAUCUCUGCAUGUCUGUCAGACAUAUCAGUGUGGAUGACGGAUCACCAGCUCAAGCUGAACCUCGGCAAGACGGAGCUGCUCUUCCUCCCGGGGAAGGACUGCCCGUUCCAUGAUCUCGCC
RNAcentral lists this long non-coding RNA (955 nucleotides) under Salmo salar (Atlantic salmon). RNAcentral's name for it is "lncRNA (ENSSSAG00000113193.1, ENSSSAG00000118336.1)". The record is from RNAcentral. Lineage: Eukaryota; Metazoa; Chordata; Actinopteri; Salmoniformes; Salmonidae.